RNAcentral lists this ribosomal RNA (492 nucleotides) under uncultured bacterium. RNAcentral's name for it is "bacterial SSU rRNA". It matches the Rfam family "Bacterial small subunit ribosomal RNA", at positions 15 to 507 of the family's 1533-position model. The record is from RNAcentral.
GAUCCUGGCUCAGGAUGAACGUUGGCGGUGUGCCUAAUACAUGCAAGUCGAACGGAGAUUGUAGCAAUACGGUCUUAGUGGCGAACGGGUGAGUAACGCGUUGGUGAUCUGCCUCGAAGUGUGGAAUAACGAUUCGAAAGAAUCGCUAAUACCGCAUAGUCUCUCUUUUUCCAGAAAUUUGAGAGUAAAGGAUUUAUUCGCUUUGAGAGGAGCCUGCGUCCAAUUAGUUAGUUGGUGAAGUAAUGGCUCACCAAGACGAUGAUUGGUAGGGGAUCUGAGAGGAUAAUCCCCCACACUGGCACUGAGAUACGGACCAGACUCCUACGGGAGGCAGCAGUGAGGAAUAUUGGUCAAUGGGCGGGAGCCUGAACCAGCCAAGUCGCGUGAAGGAAGAAGGAUCUAUGGUUCGUAAACUUCUUUUGCAGGGGAAUAAAGUGCAGGACGUGUCCUGUUUUGUAUGUACCCUGAGAAUAAGGAUCGGCUAACUCCGUG